RNAcentral lists this long non-coding RNA (210 nucleotides) under Ananas comosus (pineapple). RNAcentral describes it as "long non-coding RNA (ACOM_LNC000949)". Lineage: Eukaryota; Viridiplantae; Streptophyta; Magnoliopsida; Poales; Bromeliaceae. The record is from RNAcentral.
AGAUUGGAGAUCGGUGAGCGUUCGGUGGUCGAUUGCGAGUUCGAGCCGAAUCGGGCGACGCAUGCCGCGUGAGUCCGAUUGCAAGUGUCUACAAGCAAUCGGAAAGCAUUGCUAGGUGGGUUGUGCUUCACCGAAGUGAUUAGGUCACUUCCAUGCCAAAGUGAAGUAUGGUUUAUUGUUGAUGCAUGUAUAUUAUGGUACGUUGUAUAU